GACGAACGCUGGCGGCGUGCUUAACACAUGCCAGUCGAACGGUGAAGCUCAGCUUUUGUUGGGUGGAUGAGUGGCGAACGGGUGAGUAACACGUGAGUAACCUGCCCCCUUCUUUGGGAUAACGCCCGGAAACGGGUGCUAAUACUGGAUAUUCACUGGUGUUCGCAUGGGGGUUUGUGGAAAGGGGUUUUCUGGUGGGGGAUGGGCUCGUGGCCUAUCAGCUUGUUGGUGGGGUGAUGGCCUACCAAGGCUUUGACGGGUAGGCGGCCUGAGAGGGUGACCGGUAACAGUGGCAGUGAGAUAGGGCCUAGGCUACUACGCGGGGCAGCAGUGGGGAAUAUUGCAGAAUGGGUGCAAGCAUGAUGCAGCGACUGUGCGUGAGGUAUGGAGGCCUUCAGGUUGUGAACCUCGUUCGCUAAUGCUCUAGCCGCAAAAAUGGUUGUGGUGACGGUAGUGGGUAAAGAAGCACCGGCUAACUACGUG
This 483-nucleotide ribosomal RNA is filed under the name uncultured bacterium. RNAcentral's name for it is "partial 16S ribosomal RNA". It matches the Rfam family "Bacterial small subunit ribosomal RNA", at positions 28 to 507 of the family's 1533-position model. The record is from RNAcentral.